This 301-nucleotide ribosomal RNA is filed under the name uncultured Clostridium sp. Its description in RNAcentral is "partial 16S ribosomal RNA". The stretch from base 53 to 301 matches the Rfam family "Bacterial small subunit ribosomal RNA", at positions 547 to 795 of the family's 1533-position model. The record is from RNAcentral. Lineage: Bacteria; Bacillati; Bacillota; Clostridia; Eubacteriales; Clostridiaceae.
UGCGAAGGAGGGUGGAGAAGCUGCGUUAGUACGUAGGGGAGAAGGGGGAUCCGGAGUUAGUGGGCGGAAAGGGUGCGUAGGUGGUUGGUUGCGGCGGCUGUGGAAGCUGGAGGCGCAACCGCCAGCCUGCAGUGGGUACGGGCAGAAUAGAGUGCGGUAGGGGUGCUUGGAAUGCCUGGUGUAGCGGUGGAAUGCGCAGAUAUCAGGAGGAACACCGAUGGCGAAGGCAGAUCUCUGGGCCGUAACUGACGCUGAGGAGCGAAAGCAUGGGGAGCGAACAGGAUUAGAUACCCUAGUAGUC